This 333-nucleotide ribosomal RNA is filed under the name uncultured Anoxybacillus sp. RNAcentral's name for it is "bacterial SSU rRNA". It matches the Rfam family "Bacterial small subunit ribosomal RNA", at positions 1047 to 1382 of the family's 1533-position model. Lineage: Bacteria; Bacillati; Bacillota; Bacilli; Caryophanales; Anoxybacillaceae. The record is from RNAcentral.
GGUUGUCGUCAGCUCGUGCCGUGAGUGUCGGGUUAAGUCCCAUAACGAGCGCAACCCUCGACCUUAGUUGCCAGCAUUCAGUUGGGCACUCUAAGGUGACUGCCGGCUAAAAGUCGGAGGAAGGUGGGGAUGACGUCAAAUCAUCAUGCCCCUUAUGACCUGGGCUACACACGUGCUACAAUGGGCGGUACAAAGGGUCGCGAACCCGCGAGGGGGAGCCAAUCCCAAAAAGCCGCUCUCAGUUCGGAUUGCAGGCUGCAACUCGCCUGCAUGAAGCCGGAAUCGCUAGUAAUCGCGGAUCAGCAUGCCGCGGUGAAUACGUUCCCGGGCCUU